UACGGAGGGAGCUAGCGUUGUUUGGAAUUACUGGGCGUAAAGCGCACGUAGGCGGCUUUGUAAGUUAGAGGUGAAAGCCCGGGGCUCAACUCCGGAACUGCCUUUAAGACUGCAUCGCUUGAAUCCGGGAGAGGUGAGUGGAAUUCCGAGUGUAGAGGUGAAAUUCGUAGAUAUUCGGAAGAACACCAGUGGCGAAGGCGGCUCUCUGGAACGCAACUGACGCUGAGACGCGAAAGCGUGGGGAGCAAACAGG
This 253-nucleotide ribosomal RNA is filed under the name uncultured bacterium. RNAcentral describes it as "partial 16S ribosomal RNA". It matches the Rfam family "Bacterial small subunit ribosomal RNA", at positions 524 to 776 of the family's 1533-position model. The record is from RNAcentral.